This is a non-coding RNA of Streptococcus ratti FA-1 = DSM 20564, 134 nucleotides long. NCBI's taxonomy places the organism in Bacteria, Bacillati, Bacillota, Bacilli, Lactobacillales, Streptococcaceae. The record is from Rfam.
GGUUUUGAAAAAAACUGACCUAAGACAGCAGGGGAGCCGUGCUCAUAAUAUUCCUGCCGAGGCACAAAACGUAAAUUUAAAAAAACGUAUUGUACUUUCGUGUCUGGGUUUGGAUGCGAUUUUUUCUUGCAUCC